UUCGCUUUAAAGAUUGAUGCAACAAAUCGUCUUGAAAGAUUCGCAGAGCAAGAAUAGUAAUACAAUUGUGUGUCUAACACACUAGGAGGAACAAACAUGUUACAAGGUAAAGUAAAAUGGUUUAACGCAGAAAAAGGUUUCGGUUUCAUCGAAGUUGAAGGUAGAGAAGACGUAUUCGUUCAUUUCUCUGCAAUCCAAGGCGAAGGUUACAAAACUUUAGAAGAAGGUCAAACAGUUUCUUUCGAAAUCGUUGAUGGAGCUCGUGGACCACAAGCUGCUAACGUUACAAAAUAAUUGAAGCGAUAGCUCAUACAAAGAACUUCUCUUUUUGAGAGGUUCUUUUUU
RNAcentral lists this small RNA (345 nucleotides) under Priestia koreensis. RNAcentral describes it as "Bacillus koreensis cspA thermoregulator". It matches the Rfam family "cspA thermoregulator", at positions 75 to 428 of the family's 428-position model. Lineage: Bacteria; Bacillati; Bacillota; Bacilli; Caryophanales; Bacillaceae. The record is from Rfam by way of RNAcentral.